GAUGAACGCUGGCGGCGUGCCUAAUACAUGCAAGUCGAGCGAACAGACGAGGAGCUUGCUCCUCUGACGUUAGCGGCGGACGGGUGAGUAACACGUGGAUAACCUACCUAUAAGACUGGGAUAACUUCGGGAAACCGGAGCUAAUACCGGAUAAUAUAUUGAACCGCAUGGUUCAAUAGUGAAAGACGGUUUUGCUGUCACUUAUAGAUGGAUCCGCUCCGCAUUAGCUAGUUGGUAAGGUAACGGCUUACCAAGGCAACGAUGCGUAGCCGACCUGAGAGGGUGAUCGGCCACACUGGAACUGAGACACGGUCCAGACUCCUACGGGAGGCAGCAGUAGGGAAUCGUCCGCAAUGGGCGAAAGCCUGACGGAGCAACGCCGCGUGAGUGAUGAAGGUCUUCGGAGCGUAAAACUCUGUUAUUAGGGAAGAACAAAUGUGUAAGUAACUAUGCACGUCUUGACGGUACCUAAUCAGAAAGCCACGGCUAACUACGUG
RNAcentral lists this ribosomal RNA (497 nucleotides) under uncultured bacterium. Its description in RNAcentral is "partial 16S ribosomal RNA". It matches the Rfam family "Bacterial small subunit ribosomal RNA", at positions 28 to 507 of the family's 1533-position model. The record is from RNAcentral.